Oncorhynchus keta (chum salmon) is the source of this 1215-nucleotide long non-coding RNA. RefSeq lists it as uncharacterized. The record is from RefSeq and is a predicted model, not a curated record. NCBI's taxonomy places the organism in Eukaryota, Metazoa, Chordata, Actinopteri, Salmoniformes, Salmonidae. The transcript is spliced from 7 exons.
GGGAGGUUAGCAUUUCAUAUCAUACCCCUACGACAUGCUAAACUCUCACCAUUACAAUAACAGGGGAGGUUAGCAUUUCAUAUCAUACCCCUACGACAUGCUAAACUCUCACCAUUACAAUAACAGGGGAGGUUAGCAUUUCAUAUCAUACCCCUACGACAUGCUAAACUCUCACCAUUACAAUAACAGGGGAGGUUAGCAUUUCAUAUCAUACCCCUACGACAUGCUAAACUCUCACCAUUACAAUAACAGGGGAGGUUAGCAUUUCAUAUCAUACCCCUACGACAUGCUAAACUCUCACCAUUACAAUAACAGGGGAGGUUAGCAUUUCAUAUCAUACCCCUACGACAUGCUAAACUCUCACCAUUACAAUAACAGGGGAGGUUAGCAUUUCAUAUCAUACCCCUACGACAUGCUAAACUCUCACCAUUACAAUAACAGGGGAGGUUAGCAUUUCAUAUCAUACCCCUACGACAUGCUAAACUCUCACCAUUACAAUAACAGGGGAGGUUAGCAUUUCAUAUCAUACCCCUACGACAUGCUAAACUCUCACCAUUACAAUAACAGGGGAGGUUAGCAUUUCAUAUCGUACCCCUACGACAUGCUAACCUCUCACCAUUACAAUAACAGGGGAGGUUAGCAUUUCAUAUCGUACCCCUACGACAUGCUAACCUCUCACCAUUACAAUAACAGGGGAGGUUAGCAUUUCAUAUCAUACCCCUACGACAUGCUAACCUCUCACCAUUACAAUAACAGGGGAGGUUAGCAUUUCAUAUCAUACCCCUACGACAUGCUAACCUCUCACCAUUACAAUAACAGGGGAGGUUAGCAUUUCAUAUCAUACCCCUACGACAUGCUAACCUCUCACCAUUACAAUAACAGGGGAGGUUAGCAUUUCAUAUCGUACCCCUACGACAUGCUAACCUCUCACCAUUACAAUAACAGGGGAGGUUAGCAUUUCAUAUCAUACCCCUACGACAUGCUAACCUCUCACCAUUACAAUAACAGGGGAGGUUAGCAUUUCAUAUCAUACCCCUACGACAUGCUAACCUCUCACCAUUACAAUAACAGGGGAGGUUAGCAUUUCAUAUCAUACCCCCAAGACAUGCUAACCUCUCACCAUUACAAUAACAGGGGAGGUUAGCAUUUCAUAUCAUACCCCCAAGACAUGCUAACCUCUCACCAUUACAAUGACAGGGGAGGUUAGCAUUUCAU